UAAUACGAGAGGUCCAAACGUUAUUCGGAAUUACUGGGCUUACAGAGUUCGUAGGCGGCUCUACAAGUGAGGUGUGAAAGCCCUCGGCUCAACCGAGGAACUGCGCUUCAAACUGUAGAACUAGAGGGAGAUAGAGGUGAGCAGAACUGAUGGUGGAGCGGUGAAAUGCGUUGAUAUCAUCAGGAAUACCGGAGGCGAAGGCGGCUCACUGGGUCUCUUCUGACGCUGAGGAACGAAAGCUAGGGGAGCAAACGGGAUUAGAUACCCCGGUAGUCCUAGCCGUAAACGAUGAGCACUGGGCCGGAGCUCUGCACAGGGUUUCGGCCGUAGCGAAAGUGUUAAGUGCUCCGCCUGGGGAGUAUGGUCGCAAGGCUG
This 375-nucleotide ribosomal RNA is filed under the name uncultured bacterium. Its description in RNAcentral is "bacterial SSU rRNA". It matches the Rfam family "Bacterial small subunit ribosomal RNA", at positions 521 to 896 of the family's 1533-position model. The record is from RNAcentral.